Molecule: ribosomal RNA, 450 nt
Filed under: uncultured bacterium
Lineage: Bacteria
Description: partial 16S ribosomal RNA
Rfam family: Bacterial small subunit ribosomal RNA
Source: RNAcentral
GUAGGGAAUCUUCCACAAUGGACGAAAGUCUGAUGGAGCAACGCUGCGUGAGUGAAGAAGGUUCUCGGAUCGUAAAACUCUGUUGUGAGGGAAGAACAAGUACCGGAGUAACUGCCGGUACCUUGACGGUACCUCAUUAGAAAGCCACGGCUAACUACGUGCCAGCAGCCGCGGUAAUACGUAGGUGGCAAGCGUUGUCCGGAAUCAUUGGGCGUAAAGCGCGCGCAGGCGGUCCCUUAAGUCUGAUGUGAAAGCCCACGGCUCAACCGUGGAGGGUCAUUGGAAACUGGGGGACUUGAGUGCAGAAGAGGAAAGCGGAAUUCCAAGUGUAGCGGUGAAAUGCGUAGAGAUUUGGAGGAACACCAGUGGCGAAGGCGGCUUUCUGGUCUGUAACUGACGCUGAGGCGCGAAAGCGUGGGGAGCAAACAGGAUUAGAUACCCCGGUAGUCC